Long non-coding RNA from Centrocercus urophasianus (Greater sage-grouse), 2079 nucleotides. RefSeq lists it as uncharacterized. The transcript is spliced from 4 exons. Lineage: Eukaryota; Metazoa; Chordata; Aves; Galliformes; Phasianidae. The record is from RefSeq and is a predicted model, not a curated record.
UCAACAACUUGGCUUGGAAGGGCAUAUCCUAAAGACUCACACAAUUAUAUAAUUAUAUAUUACAUACCUCUGCAUUUUGUAAAGUUGUGUGCCCACAGAACUAAGGGUGACUUGGUGUAAGUAACGUGAGGCAGAGCAGCGUUUUCCAUUGGAUGCUGGAAUUGACUAAGAAUCCUCAGUCUGCCCUUCUCUUCGAAUGCAAACUUGCUCUCCUUCACUCCAUUCAGUUGUAAUUCUGGAGGUGGAACUAAUUCAGCAACAGAGUUGGCUCAGCAAAAUCUGCCAGUCAGGGCAAAUUACACGAGUGAUUCUGUGGAGGCUGAAGCGGGAUCGCUGAACUCAUUGUCACGCGUGGCUAAACAGAGAACUGAGCCUUGUGAAAGCUCUGUGAUAGAUGGACCCACAGUCUGAUCCAACACUGAAGUUUCUACAUAACUUUCUUACACCAAAGUCAGGGUUAAAUAAAUGAAGUUAUUAACUGCUACAAUACAUUUGUAACUUUCAAGCUCCCCAAGUAAUCAUAAUGUUACAGCAAGUUAGGGCUGGAAGAGGCCUUAAGAGUCAACUAAUCCAUCCCCUGUUCCAUGGUUAGCAAAAUCAAUUACGUUCAUGUCUUUACAGACAAAUUUGUCUAUCCUGUUCCCACAGCUUUCAGUGAUGGAGACUCAACAGCUUCCAUAAGCAAUCUAUUUAAAGUCUCACUAUUCAUACUAUGAGAAAGAUUUUUUUUUUCCUGUCUAACUGGAAUCUAAUCAGCUGUUGUUUGCUGUAAACCAUUAGUUAACUGCAAGUCUGAGCUAAGAUGAGAGGCGUCCUAGACUUCUGAUGAAUGUUGUCUAGUGACUUUAGUGACUCUGGAAAUAGCCUGGAAGCAGGGCUGGUUUUCAAUAGCGCUAUCAGUUCGUUGUACUUUGCUUAACAUGACCAAUUAGGAUCCUUUUAGGGAUUUUCAGGUUAUUUUAAUGUCUUAUCUCUUUAGCAUUUUUUUGGCCUCAGGGAAUCAGAAAGCGUGCUUUCUAAACGCAACGUGCUUUGACUUCAGGGAGGGCGAGUUGAAAGGGGUGUCUUCAGAAAGAGCAGGACAAAAAGUGUUUGGUUGUUUGCUUUUUCAAGAUGACUAAAAACCGGCAUGUAGUAUUUUAUUUAUUGUUUUUUCUUCUUCUUAGUUUUUUUGCUGUGGCAUCUAAAUGCUGGUUUUGCCAAUAAAUUUACUGAAUUAUGUGUGCUUGAGAUUAAAUGUCUGAACCAUCUUAUGUGAUUUUAUUCAUUUCACUUAAGCUCUUCUUCUUGCCGGUGAUCACUAAUUCUGUUCCUCAUUUUCUAUGUACCAGACUUGAAAAGGGGCUUUUGAUUAACAGAAAUGCUAGGCACCUGCAAAUCCUGCUGAAUUGAUGUGGGCUGAUCUCAUGAUACGUGGCGUACCUUAAGUUGUCUAAAAUACAACUUGAAAAAAAAAUCAGCUCAGAUUAGGUAUUUUAGCAAAAGAUUUAAGCUUGGUUUCUUUGUUUCAGUUUCCAGUUUCUAACAUGAAUGAGAGCACUAUCCUCUCACUUGCCAUAAACUGUGAAAAAUAGUUUAUUGGUACGUGAAGCACUCAGGAGUCAUAGUGGUGGUCAUUCCACGGAAACGAAUGUCUAGGAACAGGGGUUUGAAUUAGUAAAUAGACGUGAGGUCAUAUGCAGUACAAGAAGGAAAAAAUGUAUUAAAUAGCUGUUCACUGGUGAGCACUGACAAUUCUGUGUACAGAAUGAAGCAAACAUCCUGUGGAAAAAUAGUUUGUGAGGGUGUAUUUGAAGACUUCAUCAUGCAAUGGAUUACACAAGGAAGCCAAAUAAAGAUUGCACAAGUGCUUUGAUUUUGGUGGUUUUAAAUUCGUUGACUGCAAAGCUUUAACCUCACUGACAUGCUUUUAAUCCAAGUCUUCAUGUGUGCUAAAUACACGUGUUGGUAGAUUGUCAACGACGGCAGACUCAGAAAGACAAUGGCAAUAGUAGUGGGCACUUUGGAAUGAGGGGGAAUACAGAGCGUGUCUCUUGCUUGAAGGCUGAACUUACAUCAGUCCUACAAAAAAAAAACCCA